GUUGGCAGUUAUUUCGUAAUAUUAUUAUGAUUAUAUGUCUGUAUUCGCUCUGACAAACGCAAUUAUUCAAAUUAAGUGAAGAAAGAAGUACUUGCGUGCAUAUCAAUAUUACAAUUUAUAUGAUUUAUUUAUCUAUAAUAGACAUUAUCCUAAAAAAUACGAUAAUUUCGAUCCAUGUACGAUAAUUUUUACUCCCCUGGUACGAUAGUCAGUCCACUUCAAGUUGCUAACGCUGCGGCUACUUCUAGCGUUUGCAGUUUGCACAUGUAUGUAGCUCUCGUGUUCCAUUUUGCAUAUUUUUGGUAUUGAAAUCGAAGUGUAAGUGCGUCGAGUCGAGCCUUGUGCUCCUCCGCCUUGCUGUUGCGAAUUCACUCCAAAAAUCUCCUUAUUCCUGUGUAUUUCUACUUUUUGUGAUAGAGACACUUUUGUUUGUGGAAUUUAUGAACUUUGGUGUAAUGCCGAGACGUUGUGCUUUCGGUUGUGCGCUCCGUGGACAACUACAGAGUCAAGUAAUCUUAGGACAAGCUUCAUCCACACAACAUUUACUGCCUACACUAAUACAGCAAGACUGUUCAGAGCCAUAUGUGAGCAACUUUAUUUUAGAAAAAGCAUCAACUUCAACAACAUUCCAACCUGUGGCUGCAGAUGCAUCUCAAGGUGCUUGAUGCUGGAACAUAAUUAUAGUUUUAUUAGCAAGCCUGAAAGAACACCUGGAAAAGAUCUAAUGGCUCCACAGCGCACAAAGAUCAAGCAUCUUCAAGCAGAAAUAUCGCGCUUGCGAAAAAAUGGACAAUCUUUCAAAGCAAGGUUAAAAGGUGGUGCAGAUCGAUCAAUCGAAUUUUGUCAGGAAACAUAACAUAUGUGGGUGAAGGCGAAAGAAAACCAACAAUAUUAUGAUAAACAUAAACAUUAUAAAAACAAAACAUAAUAUGCAAA
Leptidea sinapis is the source of this 936-nucleotide long non-coding RNA. RefSeq lists it as uncharacterized. The transcript has 5 exons. The record is from RefSeq and is a predicted model, not a curated record. NCBI's taxonomy places the organism in Eukaryota, Metazoa, Arthropoda, Insecta, Lepidoptera, Pieridae.